CCCCAUGGUCAGGAUGAAGCGCGGGUAAUACCGCGUGGAGGUCCGAACAGGUGAACAUUGAAAAGUCCUCUGAUGAACUGUGGGUAGGAGCGAAAGACUAAUCAAACCCGGUGAUAGCUGGUUCUCCCCGAAAUAGCUUGAGGGCUAGCCUCGGAUGCUAACUUAUGGAGGUAGAGCACUGGAUGAACUAGAGCCCACACCAGGGUAUCGAAUUCAAUCAAACUCCGAAUGCCAUAGGGUGAAGUCCGGGAGUCAGUGCGCGAGGGAUAAGCUUCGUGCGCGAGAGGCAAACAUGCCAGACCAGCAGCUAAGGUGCCCAAAUACCGUUCAGUGGAAAGGAUGUGGAGAUACUUAGACAAUGAGGAUGUUGGCUUAGAGGCAGCCAUCAUUUAAACAGUGCGUAAUAGCUGACUCAUCGAGUGUUUCUGCGCCGAAAAUGAUUGGCGAUAAGCGGUAUACCGAAGCUCUGGAUGUCAUUCGAUUUCGAUCGAGUGGCGUGGUAGGGGAGCGUCGUAGGAGCGUUGAAGCAGGAGCGUAAGCAACUGUGGAGUCCCUACGAGUGAGAAUGCAGACAUGAGUAGCGAUAAGCCAGGUUAGACUCCUGGCCGCCGUAAACCCAAGGUUUCCUGUGCAAGGUUCGUCCUCACAGGGUUAGUCGGGACCUAAGGCGAGGCCGAAGGGCGUAGUCGAUGGACAGCUGGUUUAAUAUUCCAGCACCGGCUGUGGUUAAGGGCGAGAGUGACGUGGGCGCGGAGAAGAGCAGUCGAUUGAAAGUGACUGUUGCGCAAGCAGACGUUAAGGCUACGGCCAAGACGGAUUCUUUAAAGCGAACACCAAGAAAACCUCUCGUUUGUUCCCACGGUCGCCCGUACCGUAAACCGACACAGGUGGGUGGGUAGAGUAUACCCAGGCGCGUGAGUGAAACCUCGUUAAGGAACUCGGCAAUCUAGCCCCGUAACUUCGGAAGAAGGGGUGCCAGUCGCAAGACUGGCCGCAGUGAAAGGGGUCAACCGACUGUUUAACAAAAACACAGCACUCUGCCAAGUCGCAAGACUACGUAUAGGGUGUGACACGUGACCAAUGCGGAAAGAUUACGGUAAGUGGUUAGCGCAAGCGAAGCUACGAGCCCAAGUCCCCGUGAAUGUCGGCCGUAACUAUAACGGUCCUAAGGUAGCGAAAUUCCUUGUCGGGUAAGUUCCGACCUGCACGAAUCGUGUAACGAGUUGACCGCUGUCUCAACGAGGAGCUCAGCGAAGUUGUAGUGGCGGUGAAGAUGCCGCCUACCCGCAGCAGGACGGAAAGACCCUAUGCACCUUUACUGUACGCUGUUACUGUUUUUUCGGUUUUAAUGCUUAGCGUAAGUGGUAGACUUUGAUUUCGCUUUUUCGGGGGCGAAUGAGUCGUCAAUGAAACACCACCCUUUGAAACUGGAAAAUCUAACCUCUCGCCAUGAUCUGGCAGAGGGACACUGGCAGCCGGUCAGUUUUACUGGGGCGGUAUCCUCCCAAAGAGUAACGGAGGAGUACGAAGGUUGGCUCAGCCUGGUUGGUAAUCAGGCGACGAGUAUAUGGAUAUAAGCCAC
Molecule: ribosomal RNA, 1582 nt
Filed under: metagenome
Description: bacterial LSU rRNA
Rfam family: Bacterial large subunit ribosomal RNA
Source: RNAcentral